CGACCACAUGGUUCUGUUCUCGGGCGACGGCGACUUCCGCUCGCUGGUCGAGGCGAUGCAGCGGCGCGGCGUGCGGGUCACCGUGAUCUC
This 90-nucleotide transfer RNA is filed under the name Methylobacterium hispanicum. RNAcentral describes it as "tRNA-Gly". The record is from RNAcentral. Lineage: Bacteria; Pseudomonadati; Pseudomonadota; Alphaproteobacteria; Hyphomicrobiales; Methylobacteriaceae.